UUCGAUGUAAUGCACAUGAGGGUGGAGAGAGGUGGAAGAAGAGGUCUGACCUGAUUUGUGGGCCCAACAUGUUUGAAAGGCGUUUAGAAGAGGUUAAUGGAGCAGUUUUCAUACUUAGUAGAUUUUUCCACUGAUUAGGCUGAAUGUGGUAGUUUUUCGUGCAAAAUCGUAUUGUGGUAGUUCGUGGGCACGUUGGCGUGGAUUGUGGUAGUUUUUGUUUAAGUAGUCUGCAAUACCAGUGUUGAGCCAGGCACUAUAUAUACUCAUUCAAAUUAACACUGAAGUGAUGACUCUAAG
Molecule: long non-coding RNA, 297 nt
Filed under: Hordeum vulgare
Lineage: Eukaryota; Viridiplantae; Streptophyta; Magnoliopsida; Poales; Poaceae
Description: long non-coding RNA (HVUL_LNC016892)
Source: RNAcentral